UUCGCAAUGCCCGAAAGGGUGACGAAGCGACGCCGCGUGUGGGAAGAAGGCCUUCGGGUUGUAAACCACUGUCGGGAGUUAAGAAAUGUAGGGAUGUUAAUAGCAUUCUUACUUGACUAAGGCUCCGGAGGAAGCCACGGCUAACUCUGUGGCAGCAGCCGCGGUAAUACAGAGGCGGCAAGCGUUGUUCGGAAUUAUUGGGCGUAAAGAGCACGUAGGUGGGUUUGUAAGUCAGAUGUGAAAGCCUCCUGUUCAACGGGAGAAUUGCAUCUGAAACUACUGAUCUUGAGUAUAGGAGGGGAGAAUGGAACUUCUGGUGGAGCGGUGAAAUGCGUAGAUAUCAGAAGGAACGCCGGCGGCGAAAGCGAUUCUCUGGCCUAUUACUGACACUCAGUGUGCGAAAGCUAGGGGAGCAAACGGGAUUAGAUACCCCGGUAGUCCUAGCCGUAAACGAUGGGCACUAAGUAGAGGGGUUUU
RNAcentral lists this ribosomal RNA (477 nucleotides) under Candidatus Scalindua brodae. RNAcentral's name for it is "bacterial SSU rRNA". It matches the Rfam family "Bacterial small subunit ribosomal RNA", at positions 365 to 832 of the family's 1533-position model. Lineage: Bacteria; Pseudomonadati; Planctomycetota; Candidatus Brocadiia; Candidatus Brocadiales; Candidatus Scalinduaceae. The record is from RNAcentral. RNAcentral also lists the same sequence under 1 other name.